GGUGCAUAAUCGAAAAAGACGUGAAACUUAAUAUUAUGCAGUUUCCAACCUAAUGUUCUAUCCAGUUUUAAGGAUAUUAAGCAAAGUUGUAGCCCUCAUCAAGACGAACAAGUUUCGUUAAUAUCUUCUUAACAAAAAAUGCAAGCGUAAGGUUUUACGUUCUGCGCAUGCGCAGACCUUCUCCUUCCCAGCCGGCAUUUCGGUCUGGAGCUCUAUCUGCCUGAAACUUUGGCCGAAAAGUUGAUGUCACGAAAAAUGUCCAUGAAAUCAUUUUCUGAAUCAGAAUUUUACGCUAAAUCCAAUGGUGAUAGUGUCGUCCCCAGCCGCCGCAUUGGUCCGGAGUUAUGGAAGGUUAUGUACUGCGCAUGCGCAGAUCUAUCUUCGUAAAUACGCAUAAUUUGUUGAAAGGAUGUUAAGCAAAGUUGUAGCACUCAUCAAGGCGAAAAACAUUCGUUAAUGUCUUCUUAACAAAAUAUGCAAGCGUAAGGUUUUACCUUCUGCGCAUGCGCAGACUUUCUCCUUCCCAGCCGGAAUUUCGGUCUUGAGCUCUAUCUGGCUGAAACUUUCGCGGAAAAGUUGAUGUCACGAAAAAUGUCCAUGAAAUCAUUUUCUGAACCAGAAUUUUACGCUGAAUCCAAUGGUGAUAGUGUCGUCCCCAGCCGCCGCAUUGGUCCCGAGUUAUGGAAGGUUAUGUACUGCGCAUGCGCAGAACUAUCUUCGUAAAUACGCAUCUUUUGUUGAAAGGAUAUUAAGCAAAGUUGUAGCCCUCAUCAAGGCAAACAACAUUCGUUAAUGUCUUCUUAACAAAAUAUGCUUCCCAGCCGGUAAUUCGGUCUGGACCUCUAUUUGGCUGAAACUUUCGCGGAAAAGUUGAUGUCACGAAAAAUGUCCAUGAAAUCAUUUUCUGAAUCAAAAUUUUACGCUGCAUCCAGUGGUGAUAGUGUCGUCCCCAGCCGCCGCAUUGGUCCCGAGUUAUGGAAGGUUAUGUACUGCGCAUGCGCAGAACUAUCUUCGUAAAUACGCAUCUUUUGUUGAAAGGAUAUUAAGCAAAGUUGUAGCCCUCAUCAAGGCGAACGACAUUCGUUAAUGUCUUCUUGACAAAAUAUGCAAGCGUAAGGUUUUACGUUCUGCGCAUGCGCAGACCUUCUCUUUCCCAGCCGGAAUUUCGGUCUGGAGCUCUAUCUGGCUGAAAGUUUCGCGGAAAAGUUGAUGUCACGAAAAAUGUCCAUGAAAUUAUUUUCUGAAUCAGAAUUAUACGCUGAAUCCAAUGGUGAUAGUGUCGUCCCCAGCCGCCGCAUUGGUCCCGAGUUAUGGAAGGUUAUGUACUGCGCAUGCGCAGAACUAUCUUCGUAAAUACGCAUCUUUUGUUGAAAGGAUAUUAAGCAAAGUUGUAGCCCUCAUCAAGGUGAACAACAUUCGUUAAUGUCUUCUUAACAAAAUAUACAAGCGUAAGGUUUUACCUUCUGCGCAUGCGCAGACCUUCUCCUUCCCAGCCGGAAUUUCGGUCUUGAGCUCUAUCUGGCUGAAACUUUCGCGGAAAAGUUGAUGUCACGAAAAAUGUCCAUGAAAUCUUUUUCUGAAUCAGAAUUUUACGCUGAACCCAAUGGUGAUAGUGUCGUCCCCAGCCGCCGCAUUGGUCCCGAGUUAUGGAAGGUUUUGUACUGCGCAUGCGCAGACCUAUCUUCGUAAAUACGCAUCUUUUGUUGAAAGGAUAUUAAGCAAAGUUGUAGCCCUCAUCAAGGCGGACAACAUUCGUUAAUGUCUUCUUAACAAAAUAUGCUUCCCAGCCGGAAUUUCGGUCUGGACCUCUAUCUGGCUGAAACUUUCGCGGAAAAGUUGAUGUCACGAAAAAUGUCCAUGAAAUCAUUUUCUGAAUCAGAAUUUUACGCUGAAUCAAAUGGUGAUAGUGUCGUCCCCAGCCGCCGCAUUGGUCCCGAGUUAUGGAAGGUUAUGUACUGCGCAUGCGCAGAUCUAUCUUCGUAAAUACGCAUCUUUUGUUGAAAGGAUAUUAAGCAAAGUUGUAGCCCUCAUCAAUGCGAACAACAUUCGUUAAUGUCUUCUCAACAAAAUAUGCAAGCGUAAGGUUUUACGUUCUGCGCAUGCGCAGACCUUCUCCUUCCCAGCCGGAAUUUCGGUCUGGAGCUCUAUCUGGCUGAAACUUUCGCGGAAAAGUUGAUGUCACGAAAAAUGUCCAUGAAAUCAUUUUCUGAAUCAGAAUUUUACCCUGAAUCCAAUGGUGAUAGUGUCGUUCCCAGCCGCCGCAUUGGUCCCGAGUUAUGGAAGGUUAUGUACUGCGCAUGCGCAGAACUAUCUUCGUAAAUACGCAUCUUUUGUUGAAAGGAUAUUAAGCAAAGUUGUAGCCCUCAUCAAGGCGAACAA
Molecule: long non-coding RNA, 2379 nt
Filed under: Paramuricea clavata
Lineage: Eukaryota; Metazoa; Cnidaria; Anthozoa; Malacalcyonacea; Plexauridae
Source: RNAcentral